GCGGCCCGUACCCUAAACCGACUCAGGUGGUCAGGUAGAGAAUACCGAGGCGUUCGGGUGAACUAUGGUUAAGGAACUCGGCAAAAUGCCCCCGUAACUUCGGGAGAAGGGGGGCCACAUCCGGUGACGGCACUUGCUGCCGGAGCUGGGGGUGGCCGCAGAGACCAGCGAGAAGCGACUGUUUACUAAAAACACAGGUCCGUGCGAAGCCGUAAGGCGAUGUAUACGGACUGACGCCUGCCCGGUGCUGGAACGUUAAGGGGACCGGU
Molecule: ribosomal RNA, 269 nt
Filed under: Streptomyces dubilierae
Lineage: Bacteria; Bacillati; Actinomycetota; Actinomycetes; Kitasatosporales; Streptomycetaceae
Description: Streptomyces sp. DSM 41921 partial 23S ribosomal RNA
Rfam family: Bacterial large subunit ribosomal RNA
Source: RNAcentral